UUUGGUGUGUAUGUAACAUGACAGAAUGUGACUUUGCAUCGAAAAGCCAAAAAAACACAAAGAUGGAGAAACAUCUUGCAUCCUCUCCUUCCUCCACAACUCCCCCCCUCCUCAAUCCUGUCAAGUUUUAUUAUCCUCAGAAGACAACCAGUGCUCUGGUUCUGGACUGGAAGAGGGAAGAAGGUAGAUGGCUUCAGACCUAUCUAACCUUUUGUCCCUAGACUGCUGCAAAGCCACUGGGCUGAAACAGUUGGAUGUGGGAGAACACACUAGAACUGCAGUACAGAGAAAUUUGGCAACUUUUCCAAGGUCAUCUAUGAAAUGAAACACUUUGUUUUCCCAUAAUCUAUUAUGACUUCUGAAUUGCUGUGAAAGCACAAAGGAGAAGAUAGCCCAAGACAAAUGAUUUUUCUUAUUUGCAAAAGCUCCCAUUUAGGUAUUGAAAGAUUGCUGUCAGGUCACCUCAGAGCUUUCUCUUCUCCAGGCCGAACUCAGCUCUCUCAUCCUGUCCUCAUAGAAGAGGUGUUCUAUCCCUCGGAUCAUUUCUGUGGCCCUCCUUUGGACACGCAACAGGUUUGAAGAACCAUCAUUCUUAACCCCUCUUAUUACUGGGAAGAUCAUAUGUAUAUAUGAGUAACACUGAAACAGUCCUAUCUGGAAGAGCAAGUUUUAAAUAUAAUCCAUUAAAGUUGUGGAUCUGGCUUUGAGUCUUUAUCCAUUUUGUCUUACUUAGCCACAUCUCCUCUGCUUUUUGUCAGAAAGAUUUUCAGAUUCCAAGUAAACUUGACUUUGUGUAUACAUAUGAAUAAAAUUACUGGGCCAAUAUUAUCUAAUUUGAGUGGUUGGCAUAAUUGGAGCUAUGUUGAUUUACAAUAAAAACUAGGCCAUUAAAUCAGUGAGAGAUGACAGGGAAGCAAAGGAAUAAUAAAAUAUCCAAAAGAAUAUUUUAAAAACCAAAGGUGUCUAUUAUUCAUUUUCUUAAAUUAUCCCAUUAAAAUUAAGAUUUUUUUGGAAAAAGCUUAAAAACUCAUUAAGAUUUUACCUUUGCUUUUCCUUAACAUCUUCUCAUAGCUGUUCCCAAUAUAUUCUCCAACA
Molecule: non-coding RNA, 1095 nt
Organism: Meleagris gallopavo (turkey)
Lineage: Eukaryota; Metazoa; Chordata; Aves; Galliformes; Phasianidae
Source: RefSeq, a predicted model, not a curated record